RNAcentral lists this ribosomal RNA (1521 nucleotides) under Triticum aestivum (bread wheat). RNAcentral's name for it is "partial small subunit ribosomal RNA". The record is from RNAcentral. Lineage: Eukaryota; Viridiplantae; Streptophyta; Magnoliopsida; Poales; Poaceae.
AUGGCCUCCAUCUCCGCCGCCGCCAAGGCCACCUCCGCCGCCUUCGCGCACAAGAAGGAGCUCGCCGCGGCGGUGCCGCCGCAGCAGCUCGCGAGGAGCCGGCGCGCGCGGGCCGGGCGCGUUCGCGCGGUUGCGACGCCGACCCGCGCGCCGCGCUCCCCCGCGUCCACCGGCUCGGUGAAGAGCCCUAUGACGACGACGGAGAAGAUCCUGGCGCGGGCGUCGGAGCGCGCGAGCCUCGAGCCCGGGGAGAACGUGUGGGUGGACGUGGACGUGCUCAUGACGCACGACGUCUGCGGGCCCGGCACCAUCGGGAUCUUCAAGCAGGAGUUCGGGGAGGACGCCAAGGUGUGGGACCGCGAGAAGGUCGUCAUCAUCCCCGACCACUACAUCUUCACCAGCGACGAGCGGGCCAACCGGAAUGUCGACAUCCUCAGGGACUUCUGCGAGGAGCAGAAGAUUAAGUACUUUUACGACAUCAAGGACCUCAGCGACUUCAGAGCAAAUCCGGACUACAAAGGUGUUUGCCACAUUGCGCUCGCCCAAGAAGGUCACUGCCGACCAGGCGAGGUUCUCCUUGGUACUGAUUCUCAUACCUGCAAUGCUGGAGCCUUUGGUCAGUUUGCAACUGGAAUCGGGAACACUGAUGCAGGUUUUGUGAUGGGAACGGGAAAGGCUCUUCUCAAGGUGCCCCCAACCAUCAGGUUCAUAUUAGAUGGAGAAAUGCCACCUUAUUUACUCGCUAAGGAUCUGAUUUUACAAAUUAUUGGCGAGAUAUCUGUAUCUGGUGCAACAUACAGAUCGAUGGAGUUUGUUGGAUCAACAAUAGAAAGUCUAACUAUGGAAGAACGAAUGACACUGUGCAACAUGGUUAUCGAAGCUGGUGGAAAGAAUGGUGUUGUGCCUGCUGAUGAAACUACAUUUAAGUACCUUGAGGGAAAGACAUCUGUUGAAUAUGAACCUGUCUAUAGUGAUGCUCAGGCCAGAUUUUACAGCGACUACCGGUUUGAUGUAUCUAAACUGGAGCCAGUAGUUGCCAAGCCACAUUCCCCUGACAACCGUGCUCUAGCAAGAGAAUGCAAAGAUGUCAAGAUUGACCGAGUCUAUAUUGGUUCUUGCACUGGUGGCAAGACUGAGGACUUCAUUGCUGCUGCAAAGGUGUUCUUAGCUUCGGGCCAGAAGGUUAAGGUUCCCACUUUUCUCGUCCCUGCGACGCAAAAGGUGUGGAUGGAUGUGUAUAGCCUGCCCGUACCAGGAUCUGGUGGCAAAACAUGCUCCCAGAUAUUUGAAGAGGCUGGUUGUGAUACACCAGCUAGUCCCAAUUGUGGUGCUUGUUUGGGUGGUCCUCGUGAUACAUAUGCACGGAUGAAUGAACCUACGGUCUGUGUAUCAACGACGAACAGGAACUUUCCGGGCAGGAUGGGCCACAAGGAAGGGCAGAUCUACCUGGCUUCUCCCUUCACCGCAGCGGCCUCAGCGUUGACGGGAUAUGUCACGGACCCUAGGGACUUCCUGUCUUAG